GACGUUAGCGGCGGACGGGUGAGUAACACGUGGGCAACCUACCUUAUAGUUUGGGAUAACUCCGGGAAACCGGGGCUAAUACCGAAUAAUCUAUUUUACUUCAUGGUGAAAUACUGAAAGACGGUUUCGGCUGUCGCUAUAAGAUGGGCCCGCGGCGCAUUAGCUAGUUGGUGAGGUAACGGCUCACCAAGGCGACGAUGCGUAGCCGACCUGAGAGGGUGAUCGGCCACACUGGGACUGAGACACGGCCCAGACUCCUACGGGAGGCAGCAGUAGGGAAUCUUCCACAAUGGGCGAAAGCCUGAUGGAGCAACGCCGCGUGAGUGAAGAAGGUUUUCGGAUCGUAAAACUCUGUUGUAAGGGAAGAACAAGUACAGUAGUAACUGGCUGUACCUUGACGGUACCUUAUUAGAAAGCCACGGCUAACUACGUGCCAGCAGCCGCGGUAAUACGUAGGUGGCAAGCGUUGUCCGGAAUUAUUGGGCGUAAAGCGCGCGCAG
RNAcentral lists this ribosomal RNA (500 nucleotides) under uncultured bacterium. RNAcentral's name for it is "bacterial SSU rRNA". It matches the Rfam family "Bacterial small subunit ribosomal RNA", at positions 88 to 574 of the family's 1533-position model. The record is from RNAcentral.